Long non-coding RNA from Octopus bimaculoides (California two-spot octopus), 269 nucleotides. RefSeq lists it as uncharacterized. The record is from RefSeq and is a predicted model, not a curated record. NCBI's taxonomy places the organism in Eukaryota, Metazoa, Mollusca, Cephalopoda, Octopoda, Octopodidae.
ACACGUAUAUAUAAUAUAUAUGAACAGAGAUGAAAAUAAACAGGUCGUUUUAUUAUCACCGGUCAGUUUGUGAAUUCAGCAAAAAGUUUCCAUCUACCAAAUCCACUCAUAAGGCUUUGAUUGCCCUGAUGCUAGAAUAGCAGAAACUUGCCCAAAGGACCCUUGCAGUGGGAUUGAACCUGGAACCAUGUGACUGGAUAACCUUAGCACAUGACAGGAGGAGCAGCCAUUUACACAGGAAAAAGGAGUGAACAUUAUGUCGAUAAGUA